This 303-nucleotide ribosomal RNA is filed under the name uncultured bacterium. RNAcentral's name for it is "partial 16S ribosomal RNA". It matches the Rfam family "Bacterial small subunit ribosomal RNA", at positions 507 to 807 of the family's 1533-position model. The record is from RNAcentral.
AGCAGUCGCCGCGGUAAUACGAAGGGGGCUAGCGUUGUUCGGAUUUACUGGGCGUAAAGGGUGCGUAGGCGGACUGAUAAGUCAGGGGUGAAAUCCCAAGGCUCAACCUUGGAACUGCCUUUGAUACUGUUAGUCUUGAGUUCGAGAGAGGUGAGUGGAACUGCGAGUGUAGAGGUGAAAUUCGUAGAUAUUCGCAAGAACACCAGUGGCGAAGGCGGCUCACUGGCUCGAAACUGACGCUGAGGCACGAAAGCGUGGGGAGCAAACAGGAUUAGAUACCCCCGUAGUCCCUGUCUCUUAUAC